AGCCCUGCAAAAAUAUUAUUGCUAAAGCAGUAUAUGAAAUCAGAUGUAUUACCUACCACCAUGUACUUGUUUUGUGUUAUUUAAAAUAUUUAUUAAAUAUCUGGUCAUACUAAAUGUAAUUGUUCCACUCAUUUUUAA
Molecule: long non-coding RNA, 138 nt
Organism: Etheostoma spectabile (orangethroat darter)
Lineage: Eukaryota; Metazoa; Chordata; Actinopteri; Perciformes; Percidae
Exons: 3
Source: RefSeq, a predicted model, not a curated record